Molecule: microRNA, 22 nt
Filed under: Xenopus tropicalis (tropical clawed frog)
Lineage: Eukaryota; Metazoa; Chordata; Amphibia; Anura; Pipidae
Description: xtr-miR-10c
Gene: xtr-miR-10c
Source: miRBase by way of RNAcentral
CACCCUGUAGAAUCGAAUUUGU